GCGCUUACUAGAAUACUCCCUNUUGGCGAUAUAGNACCUCGGCUUUAGCCAACUGCUUAAUUACCCCUUCCUGUCUGAGGAAGUAUCUUCGAAUGAAUGCUCCUACGAAUUGUUGGCGGGCCCCCCCACCAGAGGAGCAUGUGGUUUAAUUCUAUGAUACACCACGAACCUUCUCCCGGCUUGUUGUGCUUCCGACCAGCACAGAGACAUGUCUUCUCCCCUUCGCAGAUGUGUAGACGCUGCGUGCUUGUCUUCCGCCCGCGCCUGGAGGGGUCUGCUUAGUUGACUUACCCAGCGCGACCCUCACUGAUAUUUACCAUCCAGUUAAUCUGGUGACUCUUCCAAAACUGCCGUCAUAAAAUACCUGGAAGGUGGCGAUGACGACGAAUCAUCACCGUCCUCCUUUCCAGUUCGACUCCCCUCUUGCUAUGAUGGGGACUACGGGCAGCUACAUGCCUACGUGAUGCAGAUCUCUUCAAACACGCUCUCCCCGGACCGAAUGCUGCCUGCUCCCUUCGUGCAUCAGGAUUCACUCGUUAUCGCUCACUCAACCACAGUGCGGCGAAUACUAUCCCCGCGCUUCGUGUACACCCCCCGCCGUCACAUCAAGAGCAGGCGGAUAUCUGACGACCUCAACCACCCAGCCGCGAGCGAGGGGUACACCUAAAGGACUGA
This 675-nucleotide ribosomal RNA is filed under the name uncultured bacterium. RNAcentral describes it as "bacterial SSU rRNA". The record is from RNAcentral.